Molecule: ribosomal RNA, 478 nt
Filed under: uncultured bacterium
Lineage: Bacteria
Description: partial 16S ribosomal RNA
Rfam family: Bacterial small subunit ribosomal RNA
Source: RNAcentral
GACGAACGCUGGCGGCGUGCUUAACACAUGCAAGUCGAACGGUAAGGCCCUUCGGGGUACACAAGUGGCGAACGGGUGAGUAACACGUGGGUGAUCUGCCCUGCACUUCGGGAUAAGCCUGGGAAACUGGGUCUAAUACCGGAUAGGACCACUGCCUGCAUGGGUGGUGGUGGAAAGCUUUUGCGGUGUGGGGUGGGCCCGCGGCCUAUCAGCCUGUUGGGGGGGUGAUGGCCUACCAAGGCGACGACGGGUAGCCGGCCUGAGAGGGUGACCGGCCACACUGGGACUGAGAUACGGCCCAGACUCCUACGGGAGGCAGCAGUGGGGAAUAUUGCACAAUGGGCGCAAGCCUGAUGCAGCGACGCCGCGUGAGGGAUGACGGCCUUCGGGUUGUAAACCUCUUUCAGCACCGACGAAGCGCAAGUGACGGUAGGUGCAGAAGAAGGACCGGCCAACUACGUGCCAGCCGCCGCGGUAA